This 376-nucleotide ribosomal RNA is filed under the name uncultured bacterium. RNAcentral's name for it is "bacterial SSU rRNA". It matches the Rfam family "Bacterial small subunit ribosomal RNA", at positions 335 to 704 of the family's 1533-position model. The record is from RNAcentral.
ACUCCUACGGGAGGCAGCAGUNAGGAAUAUUGGACAAUGGGCGGGGAGCCUGAUCCAGCCAUGCCGCGUGCAGGAAGACUGCCCCUAUGGGGUUUGUAAAACUGCUUUUUGUACAGGAAGAAACACUCCCUCGUGAGGGAGCUUGACGGUACUGUAAGAAUAAGGAUCGGCUAACUCCGUGCCAGCAGCCGCGGUAAUACGGAGGAUCCAAGCGUUAUCCGGAAUCAUUGGGUUUAAAGGGUCCGUAGGUGGAUGAUUAAGUCAGAGGUGAAAAUCCCUGACUCAACUGUAGAAUUGCCUUUGUACUGGUUGUCUUGAAUUAUUGUGAAGUAUUAGAAUAUGUGGUGUAGCGGUGAAAUGCAUAGAUAUCACAUAG